ACACAGCCCUGCAGGAGGUGGGCACGCCACGCCCCGCUCAGUGGGGAGUUGGCAUGGAGGCGGAGGCCUGGUCACUGAAAGAAGCCGGAGCUGCAGCUCGUUGUGACACCUGCCUGUGUCAAGGCUGGAGUGGAGCGGAUGGAGCUGUCUGUCCAGGGGCCCCAGAGGAGAGGAAACAGAUCGAAUGCUGCCACCUGAAUUAAUUGAUCCAUGUGGAUUUUUGCCUGAUGUUUGCUGACUCUCAAAAAUUGGUUUGCAGGAGUUCCUUGAAAAUUCAACAUAUGAAUACCUCAUUGGUUUUACACAUUACAGAUAUCUUCUCCAUUCUGUCCCCUCAUACCUUAGUUGAUAAAGAAUCUGCCUGCAAUGCAGGAGACUCCAGUUCAAUCCCUGGGAUGGGAAGAUCCCUUGGAGAAGGGAAAGGCUACCCACUCCAGUAUUCUGGCCUGGAGAAUUCCAUGGACUGUUUGGACAGGGUCGCAAAGAGUUGGACAUGACUGAGCGACUUUCACUUUCACUUUCCAUUCUGUCAUUGGCUAAAAAUUUGCUCAUGGUUUCCCUUUGUUGAAUAGAAAAUUUAAAUUUUGUUUUAAUUGAAUUAUG
Odocoileus virginianus texanus is the source of this 603-nucleotide non-coding RNA. The record is from RefSeq and is a predicted model, not a curated record. Lineage: Eukaryota; Metazoa; Chordata; Mammalia; Artiodactyla; Cervidae.